GGCGGGACACGUGGUAUCCUGUCUGAAUAUGGGGGGACCAUCCUCCAAGGCUAAAUACUCCUGACUGACCGAUAGUGAACCAGUACCGUGAGGGAAAGGCGAAAAGAACCCCGGCGAGGGGAGUGAAAAAGAACCUGAAACCGUGUACGUACAAGCAGUGGGAGCACAGGUUUACCUGUGUGACUGCGUACCUUUUGUAUAAUGGGUCAGCGACUUAUAUUCUGUAGCAAGGUUAACCGUAUAGGGGAGCCGGAGGGAAACCGAGUCUUAACCGGGCGUUAAGUUGCAGGGUAUAGACCCGAAACCCGGUGAUCUAGCCAUGGGCAGGUUGAAGGUUGGGUAACACUAACUGGAGGACCGAACCGACUAAUGUUGAAAAAUUAGCGGAUGACCUGUGGCUGGGGGUGAAAGGCCAAUCAAACCGGGAGAUAGCUGGUUCUCCCCGAAAGCUAUUUAGGUAGCGCCUCGUGAAUUCAUCUCCGGGGGUAGAGCACUGUUUCGGCUAGGGGGCCAUCCCGGCUUACCAACCCGAUGCAAACUGCGAAUACCGGAGAAUGUUAUCACGGGAGACACACGGCGGGUGCUAACGUCCGUCGUGAAGAGGGAAACAACCCAGACCGCCAGCUAAGGUCCCAAAGUCAUGGUUAAGUGGGAAACGAUGUGGGAAGGCCCAGACAGCCAGGAUGUUGGCUUAGAAGCAGCCAUCAUUUAAAGAAAGCGUAAUAGCUCACUGGUCGAGUCGGCCUGCGCGGAAGAUGUAACGGGGCUAAACCAUGCACCGAAGCUGCGGCAGCGACGUUUAUGCGUUGUUGGGUAGGGGAGCGUUCUGUAAGCCUGCGAAGGUGGCCUGUGAGGGUUGCUGGAGGUAUCAGAAGUGCGAAUGCUGACAUAAGUAACGAUAAAGCGGGUGAAAAGCCCGCUCGCCGGAAGACCAAGGGUUCCUGUCCAACGUUAAUCGGGGCAGGGUGAGUCGACCCCUAAGGCGAGGCCGAAAGGCGUAGUCGAUGGGAAACGGGUUAAUAUUCCCGUACUUGGUGUUACUGCGAAGGGGGGACGGAGAAGGCUAUGUUGGCCGGGCGACGGUUGUCCCGGUUUAAGCGUGUAGGCUGGUUUUCCAGGCAAAUCCGGAAAAUCAAGGCUGAGGCGUGACGACGAGGCACUACGGUGCUGAAGCAACAAAUGCCCUGCUUCCAGGAAAAGCCUCUAAGCAUCAGGUAACAUCAAAUCGUACCCCAAACCGACACAGGUGGUCAGGUAGAGAAUACCAAGGCGCUUGAGAGAACUCGGGUGAAGGAACUAGGCAAAAUGGUGCCGUAACUUCGGGAGAAGGCACGCUGACACGUAGGUGAAGUGAUUUACUCAUGGAGCUGAAGUCAGUCGAAGAUACCAGCUGGCUGCAACUGUUUAUUAAAAACACAGCACUGUGCAAACACGAAAGUGGACGUAUACGGUGUGACGCCUGCCCGGUGCCGGAAGGUUAAUUGAUGGGGUCAGCGCAAGCGAAGCUCCUGAUCGAAGCCCCGGUAAACGGCGGCCGUAACUAUAACGGUCCUAAGGUAGCGAAAUUCCUUGUCGGGUAAGUUCCGACCUGCACGAAUGGCGUAAUGAUGGCCAGGCUGUCUCCACCCGAGACUCAGUGAAAUUGAACUCGCUGUGAAGAUGCAGUGUACCCGCGGCAAGACGGAAAGACCCCGUGAACCUUUACUAUAGCUUGACACUGAACAUUGAGCCUUGAUGUGUAGGAUAGGUGGGAGGCUUUGAAGUGUGGACGCCAGUCUGC
This 1780-nucleotide ribosomal RNA is filed under the name Salmonella enterica subsp. enterica serovar Bareilly. RNAcentral's name for it is "partial 23S ribosomal RNA". It matches the Rfam family "Bacterial large subunit ribosomal RNA", at positions 416 to 2179 of the family's 2925-position model. Lineage: Bacteria; Pseudomonadati; Pseudomonadota; Gammaproteobacteria; Enterobacterales; Enterobacteriaceae. The record is from RNAcentral.